Molecule: long non-coding RNA, 994 nt
Organism: Lathyrus oleraceus (garden pea)
Lineage: Eukaryota; Viridiplantae; Streptophyta; Magnoliopsida; Fabales; Fabaceae
Exons: 2
Source: RefSeq, a predicted model, not a curated record
UAUAAGAAAAUAAGAUGCAGUGGAAAACUCAUUUUUUCCCUUUUCUCUAAUCUUGCCACCUCACUAAAGUGGGGGUAAAUUUGGUCCAAAAUUUUCUUUUUCCAUCAAAACUACCAUAUUGAACCAAAUUGCUUGCUAUUUCUUAUACUUCCUUUCACUUUUUCAAUGACGAGAACCAGUUUUAAUGUAUUUUGUUCAAAACAAACUUAUUUAAUCCAACUUUUUAAACUUUCCUCUUUUUCCAAUGUCAGAUCACAUUACUUUUCUCUUUUCUCUCACUUUUCACUUCCCUCUUCUCUUGCUUCUCUCACUUCCAUAUUGAUCUUUUUCUUCAUCUUCCUAUAUUUCUUUCUUUUCUCUAUUUCAGUUUCAAGAAUAAUCUUCUUCUCAAAAAGUUUCUAUUCGCUUGUUAAGAGUUCUUCUUUUGAAUCUCUAAAUGAAUAUGGAAGGAUAUGAAGGAAGAAAUGGUGAAGAUUCAAGAGAUAUUGGAUGAACAAAAUGCAUCCAUUGAUGCUUCUAUGGUGCAUUUAGGAUUUAGUUUAUGCUUUUUGAUUUUAUGGAUUUAGUUUAUACCUUUUGAUUUUAUGGAUUUCAAUGAAGAAUCCUGUUUUUUGAAUCUUACUUUUUGAUGCUUUUUAAUUUUAUGGGUUUUGAUGUAGAAUCGUCGAAGGAGAUUAAGAUGUGAACUUUUUAUAGAUUGGUUAUGCACUAAAAAAGUUCUUUGACGAUGGUGUUGUUAGGCGCGAGAAGUUAUGGAUUACCUAGAAACUAUGGUAUAGUUUAUUAAUUUAUAUUUGUGAAAUUUUUCGGUAUUUUUAUGGAUGAUGGAAAAAAAUGUUACUUUGAGGUUGUAUUUAUUAACAUGAAUCAUCUGCUUUGUUUACUUUUUUUAGUUGUUCAGAUUAUAAUUCAGAAGGGGGAGAGAUAUUGGAGUAUUUAUGGAAUCUGUAAUGUGUUGGGUUAUUUGAAAUUGAUUGCAUAUUUAUGUUUGAUA